UACGAAGGGGGGCUAGCGUUGCUCGGAAUCACUGGGCGUAAAGCGCACGUAGGCGGCUUUUUAAGUCAGGGGUGAAAUCCUGGAGCUCAACUCCAGAACUGCCUUUGAUACUGAGAAGCUUGAGUCCGGGAGAGGUGAGUGGAACUGCGAGUGUAGAGGUGAAAUUCGUAGAUAUUCGCAAGAACACCAGUGGCGAAGGCGGCUCACUGGCCCGGUACUGACGCUGAGGUGCGAAAGCGUGGGGAGCAAACAG
This 253-nucleotide ribosomal RNA is filed under the name uncultured bacterium. RNAcentral's name for it is "partial 16S ribosomal RNA". It matches the Rfam family "Bacterial small subunit ribosomal RNA", at positions 524 to 775 of the family's 1533-position model. The record is from RNAcentral.